ACGCCGCCCCCGGGCGGCGUUUCGUGCCCUUCAACGGGCCCAUGAGGCGGGGGUGGUGCCGUGUCGGCGCAGCACCACCCCCAGCCGC
RNAcentral lists this non-coding RNA (88 nucleotides) under Streptomyces collinus Tu 365. RNAcentral's name for it is "Streptomyces RNA 6106". It matches the Rfam family "Streptomyces RNA 6106". Rfam says of the family: Identified by deep sequencing of transcriptome at the end of exponential growth phase. Appears smaller on northern blot than sequencing transcript. The record is from Rfam by way of RNAcentral. Lineage: Bacteria; Bacillati; Actinomycetota; Actinomycetes; Kitasatosporales; Streptomycetaceae.